RNAcentral lists this small nuclear RNA (341 nucleotides) under Jaculus jaculus (lesser Egyptian jerboa). RNAcentral's name for it is "7SK RNA (ENSJJAG00000004170.1)". It matches the Rfam family "7SK RNA". Rfam says of the family: 7SK was discovered as an abundant small nuclear RNA in the mid-70s but a possible function has only recently been suggested. Two independent studies have found that 7SK RNA binds the CDK9/cyclin T complex (known as elongation factor P-TEFb). P-TEFb activates transcription by phosphorylating the C-terminal domain of RNA polymerase II. The record is from Rfam by way of RNAcentral. Lineage: Eukaryota; Metazoa; Chordata; Mammalia; Rodentia; Dipodidae.
GGAUGUGAGGACAAUUGGCCAGGACGACUGUCACUCCAUUGAUGUCCAGGGUUGAUUUGCUGGCCUGGCUGGCUAGAUGGGUGUCCCUUUACACCCUCACUACUCCAUGUGCAUCCCCCCUGGAGCUGCAUGCUUGGUCAAGAGAACAACAUUCCCUGGAUGGAGGGGGACCAGUCCUUGGUCAAGGUAUGCAAGUACCUGUGCUCCCCUGCUUGAACCUCCAACCACGCUUUCCAGAAGUAAUCAAGAAGCUCACAUUUUGUAAUUACGCCAAAUCCCCUAUAAGGUGGGCAGUCCUGACUGAGGCUUGUGUGUGUUGCUGACAGAUGAUGCCAGUCCUU